UAGGGAAUAUUGGACAAUGGGCGAAAGCCUGAUCCAGCAAUGCCGCGUGAGCGAUGAAGGCCUUAGGGUUGUAAAGCUCUUUUACCCGGGAUGAUAAUGACAGUACCGGGAGAAUAAGCUCCGGCUAACUCCGUGCCAGCAGCCGCGGUAAUACGGAGGGAGCUAGCGUUGUUCGGAAUUACUGGGCGUAAAGCGCACGUAGGCGGCUUUUCAAGUCAGGGGUGAAAGCCCGGGGCUCAACCCCGGAAUAGCCCUUGAAACUGGAAGGCUAGAAUCACGGAGAGGUGGGUGGAAUUCCGAGUGUAGAGGUGAAAUUCGUAGAUAUUCGGAAGAACACCAGUGGCGAAGGCGGCCCACUGGACGUGUAUUGACGCUGAGGUGCGAAAGCGUGGGGAGCAAACA
RNAcentral lists this ribosomal RNA (402 nucleotides) under uncultured Sphingobium sp. RNAcentral describes it as "bacterial SSU rRNA". It matches the Rfam family "Bacterial small subunit ribosomal RNA", at positions 355 to 774 of the family's 1533-position model. The record is from RNAcentral. Lineage: Bacteria; Pseudomonadati; Pseudomonadota; Alphaproteobacteria; Sphingomonadales; Sphingobiaceae.